UUUCACUCUGACCUUGGUAUAAAUUAGGGAAGGGGCAAGAAUGGCAGCAGAAACAACAGUGGAGAUGUAUUAAUAGUUUAGGGAAAAGGAAAUGAAGACUGAAAUUAAGAUGAAGGGUUAACAGCCAGGUCCUUGCCUGCUGUGCAGUCUGAUGAAAGACUUCAGCCUCUGCUCAAUCACCUCAGUUUGAUAAAGGUUACUCUUAGAACAUCCGUCACAGCUUUGGAAAGGAAGGCAAGAGGACAGACUAUACACCUUUCAGUUGCCUGAAGAUUAUUCUAUCCAAUCCACCAAGCCAAGGGGAUUAUCA
RNAcentral lists this long non-coding RNA (310 nucleotides) under Homo sapiens (human). RNAcentral describes it as "HSALNT0334855". The record is from RNAcentral. Lineage: Eukaryota; Metazoa; Chordata; Mammalia; Primates; Hominidae.